GCAUCUGUAGUGUAGGGGUUAUCAUCCCAGCCUUCCAAGCUGGGGACUCGAGUUCGAGUCUCGACAGAUGCA
This 72-nucleotide transfer RNA is filed under the name Colletotrichum higginsianum. RNAcentral's name for it is "tRNA-Gly". It matches the Rfam family "tRNA". From Rfam's summary of the family: Transfer RNA (tRNA) molecules are approximately 80 nucleotides in length. Their secondary structure includes four short double-helical elements and three loops (D, anti-codon, and T loops). The record is from RNAcentral. RNAcentral also lists the same sequence under 4 other names. Lineage: Eukaryota; Fungi; Ascomycota; Sordariomycetes; Glomerellales; Glomerellaceae.